Molecule: ribosomal RNA, 253 nt
Filed under: uncultured bacterium
Lineage: Bacteria
Description: partial 16S ribosomal RNA
Rfam family: Bacterial small subunit ribosomal RNA
Source: RNAcentral
UACGUAGGGUGCGAGCGUUGUCCGGAAUUAUUGGGCGUAAAGGGCUCGUAGGCGGUUUGUCGCGUCUGCUGUGAAAAUCCAGGGCUCAACCCUGGACCUGCAGUGGGUACGGGCAGACUAGAGUGCGGUAGGGGAGAUCGGAAUUCCUGGUGUAGCGGUGAAAUGCGCAGAUAUCAGGAGGAACACCGGUGGCGAAGGCGGAUCUCUGGGCCGUAACUGACGCUGAGGAGCGAAAGCAUGGGGAGCGAACAGG